UACGUAGGUGGCUAGCGUUGUCCGGAUUUACUGGGCGUAAAGAGCGCGCAGGCGGUCGUUCAAGUCGAGUGUGAAAGCCCCCGGCUCAACUGGGGAGGGUCACGCGAUACUGAUCGACUCGAAGGCAGGAGAGGGAAGUGGAAUUCCCGGUGUAGUGGUGAAAUGCGUAGAUAUCGGGAGGAACACCAGUGGCGAAGGCGACUUCCUGGCCUGUUCUUGACGCUGAGGCGCGAAAGCUAGGGGAGCAAACGGG
This 253-nucleotide ribosomal RNA is filed under the name uncultured bacterium. RNAcentral's name for it is "partial 16S ribosomal RNA". It matches the Rfam family "Bacterial small subunit ribosomal RNA", at positions 524 to 776 of the family's 1533-position model. The record is from RNAcentral.